CAACAUAUAAAGAUACACACACGCGUAUCGUAAACAAACACGAUAUGCUGUUCUAUUGAGUAUUUGAUCAACACAGUCACUCCUCUCCCUGCUAUCUUUUUAAUAGCAUCAAUUCAAGCUCUGAUUCAGCCUCCAAUGGCAUCCGAUGCUGCCAUUGCCACUUGGGGCUCUGGGGAAGACGGCCAAUUGGGAAUCGGGAACAACGAGGAGAAGGAAUGGGUGUGCGCCGUCAGAGCCCUCGAGUCGCAGACUAUCCGCUCUGUUGUCGCUGGCAGCCGAAAUUCUCUCGCUAUUUGCGAUGACGGCAAGUUGUUUACAUGGGGUUGGAACCAAAGAGGAACCUUAGGGCACCCUUCCGAGACCAAAACUGAGAACAUUCCAAGCCAGGUUAAAGCUCUUGCCAAUGUCAAGAUUGUUCAGGCUGCUAUUGGUGGAUGGCAUUGUUUGGCUGUCGAUGAUCAAGGUCGUGCUUACGCUUGGGGUGGGAAUGAGUAUGGACAGUGUGGUGAAGAACCUGAGCGGAAAGAUGACACUGUUAGACCUUUGAGAAGGGAUAUAGUGAAUCCUCAACGCUGUGCACCAACACUUAAGGUCCGCCAGGUAGCUGCUGGGGGUACUCACUCUGUGGUACUUACACGUGAUGGGCAAGUAUGGACAUGGGGUCAGCCAUGGCCUCCGGGAGACAUAAAACAAAUUUCAACACCUGUGCGUGUACAAGGUCUUGAUGCAGUGAGGCUCAUUGCAGUUGGGGCAUUUCAUAAUUUGGCUCUGCAGGAGGAUGGUACUUUAUGGGCUUGGGGUAAUAACGAAUAUGGACAACUUGGAACAGGGGAUACUCAGCCGAGAUCGCAGCCUAUUCCUGUCCAGGGGCUAUCUGGUCUUAAUUUGGUGGAUAUUGCUGCUGGAGGAUGGCAUUCUACUGCACUAACAGAAGAUGGAGAGGUGUAUGGUUGGGGACGAGGAGAACAUGGAAGGCUUGGGUUUUGGUGACAAUGAUAAAAGUAGUAAAAUGGUGCCGCAAAGGGUUCAUCUUUUAGCUGGGGAGGAUAUUGUUCAGGUGUCUUGUGGAGGCACUCACUCUGUUGCAUUAACUCGUGACGGGCGAAUCUAUUCGUUUGGCCGAGGCGACCACGGACGCCUUGGAUAUGGAAGGAAGGUGACGACUGGUCAGCCGAUGGAAGUUCCCAUUGGCAUCCCUCCCAGAAAUGGCACUGCAGACAAUGGACACUGGAUUGCCAAACUCGUCGCUUCUGGAGGACGCCAUACGUUGGCAAUCGUAGAAUGGAAAGCCGAUGAUGAACCAGAAUCAUAGGAAUCAUGUCCGAAAAUUAUCCGGUAGCUCGAAUAAUCGAUGUUGGUUAUGUAUAACUGUGUUAUCUAAGUUCAAAUAGUAACAUAACUUAAUAUUUUCGUUCUGCAUAUUUUUUGCUUCCGGGUUUUUGAAUUCGGUAAAGAACUGUUUUGCGUA
Molecule: non-coding RNA, 1468 nt
Organism: Malus domestica (apple)
Lineage: Eukaryota; Viridiplantae; Streptophyta; Magnoliopsida; Rosales; Rosaceae
Source: RefSeq, a predicted model, not a curated record